GCGAGCGUGGCGGAAUGGCAGACGCGCUAGGUUCAGGACCUAGUGUCCGCAAGGACGUGGAGGUUCAACUCCUCUCGCUCGCACCA
This 86-nucleotide transfer RNA is filed under the name Bacillota bacterium. Its description in RNAcentral is "tRNA-Leu". It matches the Rfam family "tRNA". From Rfam's summary of the family: Transfer RNA (tRNA) molecules are approximately 80 nucleotides in length. The record is from RNAcentral. Lineage: Bacteria; Bacillati; Bacillota.